Molecule: ribosomal RNA, 301 nt
Filed under: uncultured bacterium
Lineage: Bacteria
Description: partial 16S ribosomal RNA
Rfam family: Bacterial small subunit ribosomal RNA
Source: RNAcentral
CAGCAGCCACGGUAAUGCGUAGGCGGCAAGCGUUGUCCGGAAUUAUUGGGCGUAAAGGGCUCGCAGGCGGUUUCUUAAGUCUGAUGUGAAAGCCCCCGGCUCAACCGGGGAGGGUCAUUGGAAACUGGGAAACUUGAGUGCAGAAGAGGAGAGUGGAAUUCCACGUGUAGCGGUGAAAUGCGUAGAGAUGUGGAGGAACACCAGUGGCGAAGGCGACUCUCUGGUCUGUAACUGACGCUGAGGAGCGAAAGCGUGGGGAGCGAACAGGAUUAGAUACCCCGGUAGUCCCUGUCUCUUAUAC